GUGGCGAUAGCGAAGAGGUCACACCCGUUCCCAUACCGAACACGGAAGUUAAGCUCUUCAGCGCCGAUGGUAGUCGGGGGUUUCCCCCUGUGAGAGUAGGACGCCGCCAAGC
RNAcentral lists this ribosomal RNA (112 nucleotides) under Bacillus subtilis. Lineage: Bacteria; Bacillati; Bacillota; Bacilli; Caryophanales; Bacillaceae. The record is from RNAcentral. RNAcentral also lists the same sequence under 5 other names.